UCGGGAAUAUUGCCCAAUGGCCGAAAGGCUGAGGCAGCAACGCCGCGUGCGCGAUGAAGGCCUUCGGGUCGUAAAGCGCUUUUCGGGUGGAUGAGAGAGGACCGUACACCCGGAAUAAGGUACGGCUAACUACGUGCCAGCAGCCGCGGUAAAACGUAGGUACCGAGCGUUAUCCGGAUUUACUGGGCGUAAAGCGCGUUCAGGCGGUCGAACAAGUCGGGCAUGAAAUCCUUCGGCUCAACCGGGGGAGGCUGUCCGAUACUGUCCGACUGGAGGGCAGUAGAGGGUGGUGGAAUUCCGGGUGUAGUGGUGAAAUGCGUAGAGAUCCGGAGGAACACCAGUGGCGAAAGCGGCCACCUGGACUGUACCUGACGCUGACACGCGAAAGCUAGGGGAGCGAACGG
Molecule: ribosomal RNA, 404 nt
Filed under: uncultured bacterium
Lineage: Bacteria
Description: bacterial SSU rRNA
Rfam family: Bacterial small subunit ribosomal RNA
Source: RNAcentral